GCAAAGACCUCGAUCUAAACCGCACGCUCAACAAUUAAUGGCUACUUUCAACAUUUUGCAAGACCUGAUUAUGUGUCCGUACAGUGAGCACCACAAUGCCAAAAGAGGGCGGCUAAGUAUACACGUGUUGACGGGACGGUUGCCAGCUCCAAUAAAAGCCAUGCCCCUUCAAUUCUAACCAUGACGCGCCCGCUGAACCGGAUGGCCAUCUCCAGCACCUGGAUACCUGCCCAGACAAAACAACAAUGUUGCUGUGCACGCAGACCAGCGACGACCCUCCUUAUGAGUUGCCAGCGCCAGGAGUUCCACAGCGCCAGGAGGUUCACAACCUUUUCAUCAUGAGCCCGAGGGCUCAUCAUGAGCCCUCUGCUGACUGUCCAAGCUGAGGUCGUGACUGGCGAGCGUCAUGGCACCUGGGACAAGGCUCGGGUCGGCCAUCCCUUUGGCGCUGAGGUCACCCACCCGACCGGUAAUCUGGGGGCUGCGCGAGCCUUGGCCGACCACCCUCGGGCUGUUCAGACCUCAACAAUUUAAGACUAGAGUGCCCCGGCAACACGAGGAAGCAUAAAGUGGAAGCCCUUGUGCGAAGGCUUAUGGCGUUUGGCCGUGCUUACUAGCAGCAAAGCUUCGACGAGGCCUAAAGAUACCUCAAUAAAGGAUCUUUUAUAUGCAGG
Molecule: long non-coding RNA, 674 nt
Filed under: Rhipicephalus microplus (southern cattle tick)
Lineage: Eukaryota; Metazoa; Arthropoda; Arachnida; Ixodida; Ixodidae
Description: uncharacterized LOC119162209
Source: RNAcentral